GAGGUAUUGAAAUGAGACUUUAAAUGAGUGCUAAGAGAAUGAUUGAACAAUUAGAAACUUUCUUUAAUUAAAUAAUUAAAUUUAAUUUUUUAAUGCAAAAGUUAAAAUAAAAUUUAGGGACAAGAAGACCCUAUGAAUUUUUUAUUUAUUUAAAUAUAWAWWAAAUUUUUAAAUAAAUUUGAUUGGGGCGAUGUAAAAAGAAUAAAUAUCUUUUUUUAUAAAAUUAAAUUAGUUCCGUUUAUAGCGAUUUUUUGAAAAAAAUACUCUAGGGAUAACAGCGUAAA
Molecule: ribosomal RNA, 284 nt
Filed under: Ixodes pacificus (western blacklegged tick)
Lineage: Eukaryota; Metazoa; Arthropoda; Arachnida; Ixodida; Ixodidae
Description: partial 16S ribosomal RNA
Source: RNAcentral